GAAAUGCGAUACGUAAUGCGAAUUGCAGAAUUCAGUGAAUCAUCAAAUCUUUGAACGCAAAUUGCGCUCUCGGGAUAGGCCUGAGAGCACGCCUCUUUGAGUAUCGAUUCCACCACCUCCAGAACAAACUGUUUUUUGUUAAUGGUUUGCCACUGGGAUUUUGAGUGUUUUUCCUGUUGUUGUUUUAUGCAAUGAUGGGUCACUUGAAAAGGAAUGGAAUGGAGGGAUGCAAGACUCUGAGAGCUUUUGAGCUAUUGAGUUGACUUGAUUAUGGAUAAAUAUCUAAUGAUCAAAUAAACUUGAUAGUUUGUAUGAGCUAGACUGUGAGUCAUGCGAUCAUGUCCCUCUCCCAACUUCUUACUAACGUUUAAGAAUUAGAUCUCAAAUGAAGCGAGACAACCCGCUGAACUUAAGC
RNAcentral lists this unclassified non-coding RNA (415 nucleotides) under plant metagenome. Its description in RNAcentral is "partial contains 5.8S ribosomal RNA, internal transcribed spacer 2, and large subunit ribosomal RNA". The stretch from base 1 to 106 matches the Rfam family "5.8S ribosomal RNA", at positions 50 to 154 of the family's 154-position model. The record is from RNAcentral.